RNAcentral lists this ribosomal RNA (746 nucleotides) under uncultured Glomeromycotina. Its description in RNAcentral is "eukaryotic LSU rRNA". It matches the Rfam family "Eukaryotic large subunit ribosomal RNA", at positions 38 to 633 of the family's 3401-position model. Lineage: Eukaryota; Fungi; Glomeromycota. The record is from RNAcentral.
GCAUAUCAAUAAGCGGAGGAAAAGAAAAUAACAAUGAUUCCCCUAGUAACUGCGAGUGAAGAGGGACAAGCUCAAAUUUUAAAUCUAUCGGGUUUUACCUGAUCGAGUUGUAAUUUGAAGAAGCGUUUUCUGCGUUUUUGGUCAGCUCAAGUCCUAUUGAAUGAGGCAUCAUGGAGGGUGAUAAUCCCGUCCGGUUGAUCAUUUGCGUUUUACGAUACGCUCUCUAAGAGUCAAGUUGUUUGGGAUUGCAGCUUAAAAUGGGAGGUAAAUUUCUCCUAAGGCUAAAUAACGGCGAGAGACCGAUAGCGAACAAGUACCGUGAGGGAAAGAUGAAAAGAACUUUGAAAAGAGAGUUAAACAGUACGUGAAAUUGUUGAAAGGGAAACGAUUGAAGCCAGUCGUACCUUCGGGUAAUCAGCCUUUCGGGUGCGAUUCUGUGGAGUGUGAGGAGCUUAACACCUUCAUGCUUUGCAUAUUUGUGCUCUUGGGUGUACUUGCUCGUGUGGUUGGUUAACAUCAAUUUUGAUUAUCAUAAAAUGAUUGGAGGAAUGUAGCUUCGAUCUCGUAUUGAAGUGUCAUAGCCUUCGGUAGAUGUGAUGAUCGAGAUUGAGGAUUGCAACGGAUACCCUUCGGGGCUACCUGUCUGGUCUCUGAUCGUUGCUCUGGUGCCGAAAGCUUGCUUACGGUUAUCAAAGUCGAUGGUCAACAGGUUAGAAUGGGUUAAAUUCGUUAAGGAUGUUGACGUA